CGCUAGGUGGCAGUAGACAUCAGUCAGUUCUUCGAGAAAAAGGAUUUCAAACCGCGCACAAGUGGUAAAGGAUUCGGUUGAGUCAUGGUGGUUUUCCGACAAAUUUGCAGCUUUUAACUAGUGGGAUGCACCAGGAUCGUGGAAAACUAAUUCAGUGACCAACACCGUCUUGCGUUGCUGUUGCUGCGAUGCCCGUAACGAAGAUUCAAUGGUGACGUGACGUUUGACGACGUAAGGCAUCUGUGGACCUAUGGAACUCUCCACCCUACUCUCAAAAAAAAAAAAUGGUUUUAAAAAGAUAUUGUCAUCUUCCUGAACGUCAAUUCCGAAAUCUUCGCCUUUGGGUCGUCGGAAAUGUGCCGGAAAAAAGUAUCGAGAAGAAGCGAUAUUUCGAUUGGCUAAUUUCAAGAACGUCGGU
Molecule: long non-coding RNA, 418 nt
Organism: Daphnia magna
Lineage: Eukaryota; Metazoa; Arthropoda; Branchiopoda; Diplostraca; Daphniidae
Exons: 3
Source: RefSeq, a predicted model, not a curated record